GCGGCGUGCCUAACACAUGCAAGUCGGAUGUGCCGCAAGGUGCAUGGCAGACGGGUGAGUAACGCGUGGGGAAUCUACCUCUUUGUGGGGAAUAACGCUCCGAAAGGAGUGGUAAUACCGCAUGAGACCUUCGGCUGGGAUGCUGGAGGUGAAACCUGGGGACCGCAAGGCCUGGGGCAAGGAGAGGAUCCUGCGUCUGAUUAGCUAGUUGGCGGGGUAAUGGCCCACCAAGGCGACGAUCAGUAGCCGGCCUGAGAGGGUGAUCGGCCACACUGGAACUGAGACACGGUCCAGACUCCUACGGGAGGCAGCAGUGGGGAAUUUUGCGCAAUGGACGAGAGUCUGACGCAGCAACYCCGCGUGGGUGAUGAAGGUCUUCGGACUGUAAAACCCUGUCGUCAGGGACGAAGGUGGCACGACUAAUAAUCGUGUUACUUGACGGUACCUGGAGAGGAAGCCCCGGCUAACUCUGUGCCAGCAGCCGCGGUAAUACAGAGGGGGCAAGCGUUAUUCGGAAUUAUUGGGCGUAAAGGGCGCGUAGGCGGUUUUUUAAGUCAGAUGUGUAAUCCCCGAGCUCAACUUGGGAACUGCAUCUGAGACUGGAAGGCUAGAGUACUGGAGAGGGUGGUGGAAUUCCUCGUGUAGCGGUGAAAUGCGUAGAGAUGAGGAGGAACACCAGUGGCGAAGGCGGCCACCUGGACAGUAACUGACGCUGAGGCGCGAAAGUGUGGGUAGCAAACAGGAUUAGAUACCCUGGUAGUCCACGCUGUAAACGAUGAACACUUGGUGUGGAGGGAGUUGACCCCUUCCGUGCCGGAGCUAACGCGUUAAGUGUUCCGCCUGGGGAGUACGGUCGCAAGGCUGAA
RNAcentral lists this ribosomal RNA (866 nucleotides) under uncultured bacterium. Its description in RNAcentral is "bacterial SSU rRNA". It matches the Rfam family "Bacterial small subunit ribosomal RNA", at positions 39 to 898 of the family's 1533-position model. The record is from RNAcentral.